This is a long non-coding RNA of Poecile atricapillus (Black-capped chickadee), 517 nucleotides long. RefSeq lists it as uncharacterized. The record is from RefSeq and is a predicted model, not a curated record. Lineage: Eukaryota; Metazoa; Chordata; Aves; Passeriformes; Paridae. The transcript has 3 exons.
UGCAGGGGUGACAGUGGCAGGGACAGUGACAGUGCUGGGGUUGGUGACACUGCAGAGGUGACAGUGCUGGGGCUGGUGACACUGAGGAGGUGACAGUGCCAGCGCUGGUGGCCGUGCCCAGGGCUGGCAGGGUCCCAGCUCGCCCAGGACACCCGAGCCACUGGCCAGGCUGAGCUAAAUAUACCCGAGCCUGGAGGCCUGGUCCCCUCAGUGUCCCCUCAGUGUCCCCUCAGUGUCCCCUCAGUGUCCCCAGCCUGUCCCCAGGCCAUCCCCAGACUGUCCCCACUGUCCCCAGGCUGUCCCCACUGUCCCCACACCUUGCACGAGGUCCUGGCACUCCACGGCCUCCAGCGCUCCAGGUUCUGCAGGAGCGUGUCCCUGUCCCCUCAGUGUCCCCUCAGUGUCCCCUCAGUGUCCCCAGGCUGUCCCCAGGUUGUCCCCUCAGUGUCCCCAGGUGUCCCCAGACCUUUUUUCUCUCCGGUGAAGGGCACCAGGUCCUGUCUCUCCUCUGUCUCCA